This 440-nucleotide ribosomal RNA is filed under the name uncultured bacterium. RNAcentral describes it as "partial 16S ribosomal RNA". It matches the Rfam family "Bacterial small subunit ribosomal RNA", at positions 338 to 795 of the family's 1533-position model. The record is from RNAcentral.
CCUACGGGAGGCAGCAGUGGGGAAUAUUGCACAAUGGGGGAAACCCUGAUGCAGCGACGCCGCGUGAGCGAUGAAGUCUUUCGGUAUGUAAAGCUCUAUCAGCAGGGAAGAAAAUGACGGUACCUGACUAAGAAGCCCCGGCUAACUACGUGCCAGCAGCCGCGGUAAUACGUAGGGGGCAAGCGUUAUCCGGAUUUACUGGGUGUAAAGGGAGCGUAGACGGUUCUGCAAGCCAGAUGUGAAAGCCCGGGGCUCAACCCCGGGACUGCAUUUGAAACUGUAAGGCUAGAGUGUAGGAGAGGCAGGCGGAAUUCCUGGUGUAGCGGUGAAAUGCGUAGAUAUUAGGAGGAACACCAGUGGCGAAGGCGGCCUGCUGGACGAUGACUGACGUUGAGGCUCGAAAGCGUGGGGAGCAAACAGGAUUAGAUACCCUAGUAGUC